UACAGUCUCGUUCUUGCUUGUUUCUAGUUCGGGUGUCUUUUUUGGAUUAGGUUGCAGUGAUCGGAGGCGAGGAUUUAGUUUUGUGCAUUUCAUUGCGACGCUGUUUUUGGGUGGUGGUGUUCCUGGUUCUUUUUGGUGCACAUUUCACGACAACAUUGACUGAUUUCGAGCGUUUCUUGAUCGGUUUCGUUUUGGCUCCUGGUCUCAAUGGUUUUUUUCUCGUUCUCUUCUUGUCUUUUUUAAUCUUGUUUCGCUUGUUUUGGUUAUUAUCUUGUUUCCCUGUAAUCUUUUUCGUCUCUGUUCAAAGUUUCGUGUAAAUGAAGGGACUGUAUAAGGGAGUGUUUAAAGUUUGAUUUGGUUUUUAUUAUUUUAUCCUGUAGGUGUUAAGUUCUCUUUGGUUUCCUUUCUCUUUUUCAUAUUGUUUUGUAUUUUCCAGUCUCGUUGGUACCUUCUUGCUCGGUUCUCUUUUAGUUUGAUUCUGUUCUGUUUGUUUUUUAUGGAUUGUUGCUUUAUUUUAAUUUGCGUUUAAAAUUUUUUUUGCUUUGUUUGUUCUUAGCAAAUUCGUUUUUUUAAUCUUUUGCUCUAAAGGGUCUUGGUUUUGUUCUUACCCUCUUUACGUCUGGUCUGUUGGUUCGAGGUGGAUCAUUUUAUCUUGUCGGGGUGCAUUUGGAUUUUGGUUACUGUUGGGUGUUUUGUCUUUUGCUAAAGCUGUUGUAGAG
This 719-nucleotide long non-coding RNA is filed under the name Gossypium barbadense (sea-island cotton). RNAcentral's name for it is "long non-coding RNA (GBAR_LNC019125)". The record is from RNAcentral. Lineage: Eukaryota; Viridiplantae; Streptophyta; Magnoliopsida; Malvales; Malvaceae.